Molecule: ribosomal RNA, 791 nt
Filed under: uncultured bacterium
Lineage: Bacteria
Description: bacterial SSU rRNA
Rfam family: Bacterial small subunit ribosomal RNA
Source: RNAcentral
AGAGUUUGAUCCUGGCUCAGAUUGAACGCUGGCGGCAUGCCUUACACAUGCAAGUCGAACGGCAGCACGGGGGCAACCCUGGUGGCGAGUGGCGAACGGGUGAGUAAUACAUCGGAACGUGUCCUGUAGUGGGGGAUAGCCCGGCGAAAGCCGGAUUAAUACCGCAUACGCUCUACGGAGGAAAGGGGGGGAUCUUCGGACCUCCCGCUACAGGGGCGGCCGAUGGCAGAUUAGCUAGUUGGUGGGGUAAAGGCCUACCAAGGCGACGAUCUGUAGCUGGUCUGAGAGGACGACCAGCCACACUGGGACUGAGACACGGCCCAGACUCCUACGGGAGGCAGCAGUGGGGAAUUUUGGACAAUGGGCGCAAGCCUGAUCCAGCAAUGCCGCGUGUGUGAAGAAGGCCUUCGGGUUGUAAAGCACUUUUGUCCGGAAAGAAAACUUCCUGGUUAAUACCCGGGGAGGAUGACGGUACCGGAAGAAUAAGCACCGGCUAACUACGUGCCAGCAGCCGCGGUAAUACGUAGGGUGCAAGCGUUAAUCGGAAUUACUGGGCGUAAAGCGUGCGCAGGCGGUCCGCUAAGACAGAUGUGAAAUCCCCGGGCUUAACCUGGGAACUGCAUUUGUGACUGGCGGGCUAGAGUAUGGCAGAGGGGGGUAGAAUUCCACGUAGCAGUGAAAUGCGUAGAGAUGUGGAGGAAUACCGAUGGCGAAGGCAGCCCCCUGGGCCAAUACUGACGCUCAUGCACGAAAGCGUGGGGAGCAAACAGGAUUAGAUACCCCAGUAGUCC